Long non-coding RNA from Solanum dulcamara, 436 nucleotides. RefSeq lists it as uncharacterized. The record is from RefSeq and is a predicted model, not a curated record. Lineage: Eukaryota; Viridiplantae; Streptophyta; Magnoliopsida; Solanales; Solanaceae. The transcript has 2 exons.
UGGAUUUGUGACAGGGUUUGGGAACCCAGACUGGUCAAGGACUCACGAACCUGCUAGUCAGACGUCUACCGUGGUCAAGACACUUGUUGAAGAAGGAGCCACAUGUACUGGAAGAACUGUUGUAGAUGACAUGGCCUUUGGUAUUAGUGGUGAACAAAGACAUUUUGAUACUCCAACAAAUCCGGCUAUGAAGCUGUUGGAGGCCUUUUGAUAUCAAAUAGGAUUAUGGUGCAAUUUGUCUUUGAAUAUCAGGACUUCUGCUGCCUAUUUUUCUGCAGUAUAUAUAAUCAUUCCGAGUAGAGAAAUAAGGUUUGAAGUCAAGGAGCUUUUUAGCUUUGUUUUGUCCUUUUUAUUAUGUCCCAAAAGCCUGGUAUUUCAGUUGAGAAUGUAUUCGAUCCAUUGUUUAGUUUGUUAUUAAAAAUUUUUACAUCUUUUA